RNAcentral lists this RNase P RNA (362 nucleotides) under marine eukaryotic metagenome. Its description in RNAcentral is "Bacterial RNase P class A". It matches the Rfam family "Bacterial RNase P class A". Rfam says of the family: Ribonuclease P (RNase P) is a ubiquitous endoribonuclease, found in archaea, bacteria and eukarya as well as chloroplasts and mitochondria. Its best characterised activity is the generation of mature 5'-ends of tRNAs by cleaving the 5'-leader elements of precursor-tRNAs. The record is from RNAcentral.
UUGGCUGGGUAACUGCGGCUGUCAUUUUUGGCAGUCGAGGAAAGUCCGGGCAUCACGGAAAAAAGGCGCCGGGUAACGCCCGGGCAUUCGAUUAUAUCGAAUGACGGCCAGUGCAACAGAAAACAAACCGCCAUUUAUAUGGUAAGGGUGAAAAGGUGCGGUAAGAGCGCACCGCGUUUUCGGUAACGGAAAUGGCAGUGUAAACCCCGCCUGAUGCAAAACCGAAUAGGGACUGCUUCAUAUGUUUUUUCCGCAUUUUGCAGUCCGGGUUGGUUGCUUGAGGUAUCUGGUAACAGAUAUCCCAGAUGAAUAGUUACCCAUGCCGGUUUUACCGGCGGGACAGAACCCGGCUUACAGGCCUC